RNAcentral lists this ribosomal RNA (294 nucleotides) under Triticum aestivum (bread wheat). Its description in RNAcentral is "partial small subunit ribosomal RNA". Lineage: Eukaryota; Viridiplantae; Streptophyta; Magnoliopsida; Poales; Poaceae. The record is from RNAcentral.
AUGACGAGAUAUUGGUGGAUUAGUUCCCUUGAUCGUCGAUCUCUGCAUUGGCUUGACUGGGACACACUUGCAACCCUGAAAGUGAAGGGAGGGAUGGGAUUCAGAGACCUGCAGCUCUUCAACCUAUCUUUUCUCCGAAAGCACGGAUGGAGACUUAUCACGAGCCCGAAUUCGCUUUGUGCGCGAGUGCUCAGAGGGAAGUACUUCCCAAAUACCGACUUCCUGGGCGCUAGAGCGCACCCGCACGCUUCGGCUAACUGGCGAGCUAUUCUGAAGCAUUGGAGGAUGGUUUGA